Molecule: ribosomal RNA, 432 nt
Filed under: uncultured bacterium
Lineage: Bacteria
Description: partial 16S ribosomal RNA
Rfam family: Bacterial small subunit ribosomal RNA
Source: RNAcentral
ACGAACGCUGGCGGCAUGCCUAACACAUGCCAGUCGAACGAGACCUUCGGGUCUAGUGGCGCACGGGUGCGUAACGCGUGGGAAUCUGCCCUUGGGUUCGGAAUAACUCGCCGAAAGGCGUGCUAAUACCGGAUGAUGACGUAAGUCCAAAGAUUUAUCGCCCAAGGAUGAGCCCGCGUUGGAUUAGCUAGUUGGUGAGGUAAAGGCUCACCAAGGCGACGAUCCAUAGCUGGUCUGAGAGGAUGAUCAGCCACACUGGGACUGAGACACGGCCCAGACUCCUACGGGAGGCAGCAGUGGGGAAUAUUGGACAAUGGGCGAAAGCCUGAUCCAGCAAUGCCGCGUGAGUGAUGAAGGCCUUAGGGUUGUAAAGCUCUUUUACCCGGGAUGAUAAUGACCGUACCGGGAGAAUAAGCUCCGGCUAACUCCGUG